AUUCCCCCAGAUAACGGCGAGCGAAGCGGGAACAGCUCGAGCAUGAAAUCUCUGCAGCUAUGCCGGCGAAUUGUGGCCGAGAGUGGCAGCUUGGUUCUGGUUCCGAUGCCGAAGUUUGCCUGGAAAGGCACGUCAGAGAGGGCGAGAACCCCGUGCGUGGCAGAGGAUACCAGGACCGCCAACUGCACACGGAGAGUCGGGUUGUUUGGGAAUGCAGCCCAAAGUUGGUGGUAAACUCCAUCUAAAGCUAAAUACUGGCACGAGACCGAUAGCAAACAAGUACCGUGAGGGAAAGGUGAAAAGUACUUUGAAAAGAGAGUCAAAGAGAACGCGAAACCGUUAGGAGGGAAACGAGGUCCGAGGAGGACCUCUCCCUCUCUUCUGGCUGAAGGAUCAUACUGUUGACCCCCUGACUCAGGUCGCGCAUGCUGGACAGUGUUGGGUGCUGCGUCUGCGGUUGCAAAACGUGGCCAUCCGUCCCGUCUUGAAACACGGACCAAGGAGUGCAACACGCCGCGAGUCUUUGGGUGGCAAACGGCGAAAUGAAAGUGAAGGUAACCUGUGCCGAGGGAGAGCAGGCGAGCGCGCUCCACGACGGUAGCCGCUGUUGCGACCCGAAAGAUGGUGAACUAUGCCUGAAGGUGAAGCCAGAGGAAACUCUGGUGGAACUCGUAACGAUUCUGACGUGCAAAUCGAUCGUCAAAUUUGGGUAUAGGGGCGAAA
This 723-nucleotide ribosomal RNA is filed under the name Scopalina lophyropoda. RNAcentral describes it as "eukaryotic LSU rRNA". It matches the Rfam family "Eukaryotic large subunit ribosomal RNA", at positions 73 to 928 of the family's 3401-position model. The record is from RNAcentral. Lineage: Eukaryota; Metazoa; Porifera; Demospongiae; Bubarida; Dictyonellidae.